This 950-nucleotide long non-coding RNA is filed under the name Malus domestica (apple). RNAcentral's name for it is "long non-coding RNA (MDOM_LNC011472)". Lineage: Eukaryota; Viridiplantae; Streptophyta; Magnoliopsida; Rosales; Rosaceae. The record is from RNAcentral.
CAUAAGUUGUGAAUUCAAUUUGUUUAACUGCUUGAUUGAUAACUUAUUCGUGUAUGUUUAUUAAGAAUGCACACUUAGUUUGCAUGCAUGAAUAUGAUGCUAGAGUAUAAGGGAGUUUCACCUAAUAGUUACAAACUUAUAUUCACAAGUAGUGAAUGUCGCUUAUAAACGAUCGCGUUAAAUAAAUUCUUGGCAGGAGUUUCAUGCUCAUCAUAGUAACGAGUGCCUCGUCAAUACUUAUAGUUUUCAUAAUGCUUAAUGAUCUUUGAUUGUAUCUUUAUUGUGCUGUUCACGUAAAGAACUUUUGAAGAAUGCUUGAAUUGUUGUAUACGCUUUCCCAUCCAAUUCAAUAACUUAAAGAGAACUUGAAGGUUAAUUUAAGCGGACUUAAUUAACCUGGGGUGUUGAGUUUCAUGAUUGAUCGAAAGAACAACUGAAAAUUGGUUUAUGUGCAAGUAUGUCAUAUGUGGAGAAGAACCUCCUAGCUAGCCUUCCAUCCAUUCAAUUUACUCAAAUUCGUGCAGAUUUCAUUAGUUCUUUAAUUUACUUGUUUUGUUUUCAAAUUCGUCAAAACCAAAACCCCCUUUACUUUAAAGUGUUUUAUUAGUCAAAAUCUGUUUUGAUUUAUGUUUUUAGGUGUCCCAAAAGUGUGAGUCCAAAUCUACCCAGUUUGUGUUUUUAGGUAGAUUUGAGCGUUUUUAGCUUGUUUUGAGUCAUUUGAGUUUGUUUUAAGUUCUUUAAGUCUAGUUUAGUGUUUUUAACUUUGUUUAUAUGUUUUAAGUCAGUUUAGAGGUUUUAGCAAGCCCUCAUAAUCCCCGGUUUAGAACGAUCCAUACUUGCAUUUAUACUACAAUUUGACAAUAAGAGGGUUUAAUUUGUGUGUUAAGUUAAUUUUCGCAUUAAUGGGUUCAGCCGAGUAUGGGAUGGGUACAAUUAUUCUAAAUCUGAAA